AGCUCAAAACCCUAAACAUGAAGGAUCAUCAAAUUGAAGGGCAAAUCAAGGUCUAAAUUCAUGAAUAAACACGGAUUAAUGAUCACCUCUUCAUGGGGAUCGCAAGGAAUCAUGUCGAGACGGAAUCAGGCACGAAAGGCUAACGGGUCAAGAAGUGGCGAGGAACGAAUGGGAACACGGAUGCAUGAGGUUGUACAGAUAAUGGGCGAUUAUCACAAGGAUUAGAGAUCGAAGAUCGAGUCACAAGUUAGAUUGUACGGGGACGUUGAAUGUAAAAUGU
Long non-coding RNA from Helianthus annuus (common sunflower), 280 nucleotides. RefSeq lists it as uncharacterized. NCBI's taxonomy places the organism in Eukaryota, Viridiplantae, Streptophyta, Magnoliopsida, Asterales, Asteraceae. The transcript is spliced from 3 exons. The record is from RefSeq and is a predicted model, not a curated record.